UAAAUUAGAAAGAAAAAAGAAAAAGAUUGAUCAUAAUUAUAUUAAACAAGAUUUCAUGUCAGAGGAAAAUAAACAUAUCAGACAAUGGUAUCUUACAAAAGUACCAUUACAAUUAAGAGAAAUAUUACAGGCUAAAUAUAAUAAAUUCCUUAAAAAGGAAAAAGAAUCAGAAGGAUAUUUUCUAUGGUUGAUAAGCAAUUAUCAACAUAAACUCCAUAUCGCCUCAUUUGAUAAUAUCCAAACAAUAGAGGAAAAGACUUAUAU
RNAcentral lists this long non-coding RNA (264 nucleotides) under Amborella trichopoda. RNAcentral describes it as "long non-coding RNA (ATRI_LNC001046)". Lineage: Eukaryota; Viridiplantae; Streptophyta; Magnoliopsida; Amborellales; Amborellaceae. The record is from RNAcentral.